Molecule: ribosomal RNA, 1008 nt
Filed under: Bacillus pumilus
Lineage: Bacteria; Bacillati; Bacillota; Bacilli; Caryophanales; Bacillaceae
Description: bacterial SSU rRNA
Rfam family: Bacterial small subunit ribosomal RNA
Source: RNAcentral
GGCGGACGGGUGAGUAACACGUGGGUAACCUGCCUGUAAGACUGGGAUAACUCCGGGAAACCGGAGCUAAUACCGGAUAGUUCCUUGAACCGCAUGGUUCAAGGAUGAAAGACGGUUUCGGCUGUCACUUACAGAUGGACCCGCGGCGCAUUAGCUAGUUGGUGGGGUAAUGGCUCACCAAGGCGACGAUGCGUAGCCGACCUGAGAGGGUGAUCGGCCACACUGGGACUGAGACACGGCCCAGACUCCUACGGGAGGCAGCAGUAGGGAAUCUUCCGCAAUGGACGAAAGUCUGACGGAGCAACGCCGCGUGAGUGAUGAAGGUUUUCGGAUCGUAAAGCUCUGUUGUUAGGGAAGAACAAGUGCGAGAGUAACUGCUCGCACCUUGACGGUACCUAACCAGAAAGCCACGGCUAACUACGUGCCAGCAGCCGCGGUAAUACGUAGGUGGCAAGCGUUGUCCGGAAUUAUUGGGCGUACCGGGCUCGCAGGCGGUUUCUUAAGUCUGAUGUGAAAGCCCCCGGCUCAACCGGGGAGGGUCAUUGGAAACUGGGAAACUUGAGUGCAGAAGAGGAGAGUGGAAUUCCACGUGUAGCGGUGAAAUGCGUAGAGAUGUGGAGGAACACCAGUGGCGAAGGCGACUCUCUGGUCUGUAACUGACGCUGAGGAGCGAAAGCGUGGGGAGCGAACAGGAUUAGAUACCCUGGUAGUCCACGCCGUAAACGAUGAGUGCUAAGUGUUAGGGGGUUUCCGCCCCUUAGUGCUGCAGCUAACGCAUUAAGCACUCCGCCUGGGGAGUACGGUCGCAAGACUGAAACUCAAAGGAAUUGACGGGGGCCCGCACAAGCGGUGGAGCAUGUGGUUUAAUUCGAAGCAACGCGAAGAACCUUACCAGGUCUUGACAUCCUCUGACAACCCUAGAGAUAGGGCUUUCCCUUCGGGGACAGAGUGACAGGUGGUGCAUGGUUGUCGUCAGCUCGUGUCGUGAGAUGUUGGGUUAAGUCCCGC